RNAcentral lists this ribosomal RNA (621 nucleotides) under Lactobacillus sp. ABT L1. RNAcentral's name for it is "bacterial SSU rRNA". It matches the Rfam family "Bacterial small subunit ribosomal RNA", at positions 879 to 1501 of the family's 1533-position model. Lineage: Bacteria; Bacillati; Bacillota; Bacilli; Lactobacillales; Lactobacillaceae. The record is from RNAcentral.
AGUACGACCGCAAGGUUGAACUCCAACGAAAUGACGCGGGCCCGCACCAGCGGUGGAGCAUGUGUUUAAUUCGAAGCUACGCGAAGAACCUUACCACGUCCUGACAUCUUGCGCCAACCCUAGAGAUAGGGCGUUUUCUUCGGGAACGCAAUGACAGGUGGUGCAUGGUCGUCGUCAGCUCGUGUCGUGAGAUGUUGGGUUAAGUCCCGCAACGAGCGCAACCCUUGUUACUAGUUGCCAGCAUUAAGUUGGGCACUCUAGUGAGACUGCCGGUGACAAAACGGAGGAAGGUGGGGACGACGUCAGAUCAUCAUGCCCCUUAUGACCUGGGCUACACACGUGCUACAAUGGACGGUACAACGAGUCGCGAACUCGCGAGGGCAAGCAAAUCUCUUAAAACCGUUCUCAGUUCGGACUGCAGGCUGCGACAAGCCUGCACGAAGUCGGAAUCGCUAGUAAUCGCGGAUCAGCAUGCCGCGGUGAAUACGUUCCCGGGCCUUGUAAAAACCGCCCGUCUCACCAUGAGAGUUUGUAACACUCAAUAGGGGUGGGGUAACCUUUUAGGAGCCAGCCGCCUAAGGUGGGACAGAUGAUUAGGGUGAAGUCGUAUCCAAGGGGGCC